Equus quagga is the source of this 1006-nucleotide long non-coding RNA. RefSeq lists it as uncharacterized. The record is from RefSeq and is a predicted model, not a curated record. The transcript has 2 exons. NCBI's taxonomy places the organism in Eukaryota, Metazoa, Chordata, Mammalia, Perissodactyla, Equidae.
UGCACGUAUUUCCCUUCCAAAAAAAGAAGAACGGGAAAGGAGAUGUUAAAGGCAAGCAGAGAGAGGAAAACUGUUGCAAAACAAAAGCUGAGCUCCCGUCCGAGGGAGGCCUCCUCCAUUGGAGGCCUAGGAAAUCAUUCUGACAAAAUGGAGGAUCUCUGUCUUUGGUGUCGAUUCCCUCAGAGGUCAAGAGAAACCUUUUCCAAUGUCUUUAUCAGGAGGAGACUAGAAGUUAGAGAAAAGUAUCCUUUCGAGAGCGAGAGAAACAAAUUCUGAUUUUGCAUCAGCUUCCCUCCGAUCUGGAAACUCAUUGACUUGAUUCCAUUCUGUCGACGGAAAUAAUCCGGAACCAAUCUAUCCGUGAAAAUCUGGGCGGGACGCCGACCACAGCGUGGCUCGCCAAGCGGCGCCACGUCCGCACCCCGGAUCCGAACCGGCGAACCCCUGGCCGACAAAACGGAACGUGCGAACUUAACUGCUGUGCCGCCGGGCUGGCCCUUCGGGAAGUUCUUUUCAGGACACAGGCCAUAAACUAGAAUCACCGCUACAGGUUUAUCGGAGCGACAUCAGCGUUCGUGGUGGAUUGAGUCGUCCCCUCUGUCUCUCCCCUCCAGGGGACAACCAAACGGACGUCUAUCGACCCACCCACCAAGGAUUCCCCCCGCAUGGCACAGCAGGAUGCCUGAGAGAUCCACGCAGCCCUACAGCGGCAAGUCACAUUCGCACAGUCAAAAUUCAAUGGCAGAGACAAAACGUUAAGGUCAGCGAGAGGGAAGAGAAUAACCGGCCCAGGAGCAACGGUGUGAAGAACACGGAGAAGACGGGUCCUAGACGCCGGGGUCCCCGGAGCAGCGAUUUCAUCAGAGGCCCGCGAAUGUCCACGAUCUCCACAUCACGUUUAUGGCCGACUGCGUGUGUGGGUCCUUUGGAAUCGACCAGGCUACCAUCUGGGCCACUUUGGGACAUCGUGUCCAGCUGCCCCGAGCGGUGGAGCUGUCGUUCGAGU